CCUACGGGCGGCAGCAGUGGGGAAUAUUGGACAAUGGGGGCAACCCUGAUCCAGCCAUGCCGCGUGUGUGAAGAAGGCCCUCGGGUUGUAAAGCACUUUCAGUGAGGAAGAACGCCUGGUGGUUAAUACCCAUCAGGAAAGACAUCACUCACAGAAGAAGCACCGGCUAACUCCGUGCCAGCAGCCGCGGUAAUACGGAGGGUGCGAGCGUUAAUCGGAAUUACUGGGCGUAAAGCGCGCGUAGGUGGCUUGAUAAGCCGGUUGUGAAAGCCCCGGGCUCAACCUGGGAACGGCAUCCGGAACUGUCAAGCUAGAGUGCAGGAGAGGAAGGUAGAAUUCCCGGUGUAGCGGUGAAAUGCGUAGAGAUCGGGAGGAAUACCAGUGGCGAAGGCGGCCUGCUGGACUGACACUGACACUGAGGUGCGAAAGCGUGGGUAGCAAACAGGAUUAGAUACCCCGGUAGUC
RNAcentral lists this ribosomal RNA (465 nucleotides) under Vreelandella stevensii. Its description in RNAcentral is "partial 16S ribosomal RNA". It matches the Rfam family "Bacterial small subunit ribosomal RNA", at positions 338 to 795 of the family's 1533-position model. The record is from RNAcentral. Lineage: Bacteria; Pseudomonadati; Pseudomonadota; Gammaproteobacteria; Oceanospirillales; Halomonadaceae.